This 376-nucleotide ribosomal RNA is filed under the name uncultured bacterium. RNAcentral describes it as "bacterial SSU rRNA". It matches the Rfam family "Bacterial small subunit ribosomal RNA", at positions 524 to 898 of the family's 1533-position model. The record is from RNAcentral.
UACGUAGGGAGCGAGCGUUGUCCGGAAUUAUUGGGCGUAAAGGGCUUGUAGGCGGUUUGUCGCGUCUGCCGUGAAAUUCCUUGGCUUAACUGGGGGAGUGCGGUGGGUACGGGCAGGCUUGAGUGCGGUAGGGGAGACUGGAAUUCCUGGUGUAGCGGUGGAAUGCGCAGAUAUCAGGAGGAACACCGGUGGCGAAGGCGGGUCUCUGGGCCGUUACUGACGCUGAGGAGCGAAAGCGUGGGGAGCGAACAGGAUUAGAUACCCUGGUAGUCCAUGCUGUAAACGUUGGGCACUAGGUGUGGGGGCCGCCCUUGGUUUCCGCGCCGUAGCUAACGCUUUAAGUGCCCCGCCUGGGGAGUACGGCCGCAAGGCUAAA